Long non-coding RNA from Oncorhynchus masou masou (cherry salmon), 876 nucleotides. RefSeq lists it as uncharacterized. NCBI's taxonomy places the organism in Eukaryota, Metazoa, Chordata, Actinopteri, Salmoniformes, Salmonidae. The transcript has 3 exons. The record is from RefSeq and is a predicted model, not a curated record.
CAACGCUCGUGUUUGGACACAAGCAAUUAUCUCUAAUUAUUGUUUUUCUUUUCAGUUUUCCUGUCCCGAUGGAGGUCCGACCAGACGAACAUGCAAUAAUCAGCCCCAGUCGUCCUGGCUCAGCGGGCCCCAGAGCUGCAGCCCUCAGUCCCGGGACUACACGGCCUUUCAUCUCAAUUCUGUAGAGAAUCAACCAACGCUUGCACGUGGACAAACUCCAGUGAAAACAAAAGGGUUCUUUUUAACUUCCAAUAAAAGCUGAACCAACAUACCCUGCCACUUGCAAGCAGAGCUGCUGCUGUCCGGCUGUAAUAAACCAGCAUCUCUCAGGAAUCCGACUUAGCCCUCCAAACCCUGCAUAUGCAACAAUAAUGGUCGGAACACACUCGAGGAAAUGAGAAAAGAGUGUCGUGGUCUGCGGGGCGGGGACGAAACACUGAACAUCCAUCUAUCUUUCAGCCCCUCCUGGGGAAGACAAAGCUGGCCUAACAGUGCUAUGAAAAGGGUGGCCUGUGAAUGGUUACUAUUCAAUUUGUAUUUGGUUCCCCCGCUGGUCGCGGAGCCGAGAUCAGAGCAGAAAGUGAAAACACAUGGGCAGGGUCAGCCGAAUCAGAGGACCACCACACACACACAGGCAGGGGGAAGGAACAAGCCAAUGGGAACUUGUGUGAAGAAAUGGAUUGAAUAAACAGACAUUGCAAUCGCCUGCACCCUAUUAUCCUAUAAUUGACACUGCCUGGGAGCAUGGAGACGUCGGCUAUUAGGAGAACGGCCCAUAGGAUUCCACUGAAAAGUAGCGUUCCACGCUUCACGCCAAUCAAAAGGCCCAGGCGUUAUAGUCUGAGACAAGUUUUGAAUUCUUUCGGGCCUAAUGUG